RNAcentral lists this ribosomal RNA (207 nucleotides) under uncultured bacterium. RNAcentral's name for it is "partial 16S ribosomal RNA". It matches the Rfam family "Bacterial small subunit ribosomal RNA", at positions 568 to 774 of the family's 1533-position model. The record is from RNAcentral.
CGCGUAGGCGGGCUGUUAAGUCGGGGGUGAAAUCCCGGGGCUCAACCCCGGAACUGCCUCCGAUACUGGCAGCCUAGAGGACGGAAGAGGCGAGUGGAAUGCCGAGUGUAGAGGUGAAAUUCGUAGAUAUUCGGCGGAACACCGGUGGCGAAGGCGGCUCGCUGGUCCGUUUCUGACGCUGAGGUGCGAAAGCGUGGGGAGCAAACA